Molecule: ribosomal RNA, 417 nt
Filed under: uncultured bacterium
Lineage: Bacteria
Description: partial 16S ribosomal RNA
Rfam family: Bacterial small subunit ribosomal RNA
Source: RNAcentral
UGGGGAAUAUUGCACAAUGGGCGAAAGCCUGAUGCAGCGACGCCGCGUGAGGGAUGACGGCCUUCGGGUUGUAAACCUCUUUCAGCAGGGAAGAAGCGAAAGUGACGGUACCUGCAGAAGAAGCGCCGGCUAACUACGUGCCAGCAGCCGCGGUAAUACGUAGGGCGCAAGCGUUGUCCGGAAUUAUUGGGCGUAAAGAGCUCGUAGGCGGUUAGUCGCGUCUGCUGUGAAAACUCGAGGCUCAACCUCGGGCUUGCAGUGGGUACGGGCUGACUAGAGUGCGGUAGGGGUGACUGGAAUUCCUGGUGUAGCGGUGGAAUGCGCAGAUAUCAGGAGGACACCGAUGGCGAAGGCAGGUCACUGGGCCGCAACUGACGCUGAGGAGCGAAAGCAUGGGGAGCGAACAGGAUUAGAUAG